UAGGGAAUUUUGGACAAUGGGCGAAAGCCUGAUCCAGCAAUGCCGCGUGUGUGAAGAAGGCCUUCGGGUUGUAAAGCACUUUUGCCCGGAAAGAAAUCCUUGGCUCUAAUACAGUCGGGGGAUGACGGUACCGGAAGAAUAAGCACCGGCUAACUACGUGCCAGCAGCCGCGGUAAUACGUAGGGUGCAAGCGUUAAUCGGAAUUACUGGGCGUAAAGCGUGCGCAGGCGGUUUGCUAAGACCGAUGUGAAAUCCCCGGGCUCAACCUGGGAACUGCAUUGGUGACUGGCAGGCUAGAGUAUGGCAGAGGGGGGUAGAAUUCCACGUGUAGCAGUGAAAUGCGUAGAGAUGUGGAGGAAUACCGAUGGCGAAGGCAGCCCCCUGGGCCAAUACUGACGCUCAUGCACGAAAGCGUGGGGAGCAAACAGGAUUAGAUACCCUGGUAGUCCACGCCCUAAACGAUGUCAACUAGUUGUUGGGGAUUCAUUUCCUUAGUAACGUAGCUAACGCGUGAAGUUGACCGCCUGGGGAGUACGGUCGCAAGAUUAAAACUCAAAGGAAUUGACGGGGUCAUAGCUGUUUCCU
Molecule: ribosomal RNA, 585 nt
Filed under: uncultured bacterium
Lineage: Bacteria
Description: partial 16S ribosomal RNA
Rfam family: Bacterial small subunit ribosomal RNA
Source: RNAcentral